Molecule: non-coding RNA, 99 nt
Filed under: Rubeoparvulum massiliense
Lineage: Bacteria; Bacillati; Bacillota; Bacilli; Caryophanales; Bacillaceae
Description: TPP riboswitch (THI element)
Rfam family: TPP riboswitch aptamer (THI element)
About the family: Vitamin B(1) in its active form thiamin pyrophosphate (TPP) is an essential coenzyme that is synthesised by coupling of pyrimidine and thiazole moieties in bacteria. The previously detected thiamin-regulatory element, thi box was extended, resulting in a new, highly conserved RNA secondary structure, the THI element, which is widely distributed in eubacteria and also occurs in some archaea. Analysis of operon structures identified a large number of new candidate thiamin-regulated genes, mostly transporters, in various prokaryotic organisms.
Source: RNAcentral
CUCUAGGGGUGUCUAUGAGUAUAGGCUGAGAAGGAAUCGCGUUGAAGAUUCCUGACCCUUGAACCUGAUCUGGCUCAUACCAGCGGAGGAAAGAGCAUG